AGAGACAAGUUUCAGGAAAUGUACAACCUUCCCACCAAGGAACCUCUGCUUUUCCACUCUCCAUUCAUGACCACCCACCCAGCUUUCCAGAUGCUGAACAUGGUGCAGGCAUGAUCCUGGAGCACUGCAUGUCCAGUAGCUAAGACAACUACAUCUGUGUUCAGUUUUCUGCCUCCGCAGAAUCCAAAGGCAGUCACUACUCUUGCCAGCCUGCCCAAGUGUCUGGACUUGAGGCCACCUGAGCUGUCUGAGAGCGCCCCACAGAUGGGGAGGCAGAACAAUGCCAAACAUCAUGGAAGCCUGAUUCUGGACAACCAAAUGCCCAAUACUCAAACCAACCGCAUGUGUUUCAGAAUUCUACCUCUAGAGAAUCAAAAGGCAGUCUGAACCUUUAAGAGCUGUCCUUUAAUGUGGGCUUUGGGCUAGCUGUGCCACUUGAAAAUGACCCAGAUGUGUGAAGGUGGAUCAAGUUUCCUUUCCCCAGGUAAGCCAAUUUGGCCUGGAGUGUCAGUUGCGACCUGUAAGCAACCCCUCCUGGCAGGACAUCUCCUGGGGUACCCAGCAUCCCCAUCUGCAACCACAUCUCAGCCUAGCAGUGCCAACACCAAGCAGCUGCUGUGCUUGGAUGGCACUUCAGCGCCCUCCGGCGGCCAUUCCCUCCAAUGACAACUCAGAGCACUUCCUCCUGCCUCCUGAACAAACCCAAGGACUGCCCUGGCUGGGAUAGCUGAUUUAGUUCCUCUUCUAAGAAGAAUCAAGAGCUGUCCAGAGCGUGUACUUUCCCCCUUCAAUUCAGCUAUGGCACUCACUCCUCCCCAUCCUUCACCAUUCCUCUUAGUCAAUCAGCCACGGCCACUCUGAAUCAGGUGAACUUUUAAAAAUUAAUUAUCCUCCCCUCCUAAUUUACAUGACUUUUCUUGAGUCAUAUUUUUCCUCAGGGGUGAUCCAGAGGAGGGAGAGGCUCAAAUGGGAGAAAAAGAAGAAAUUUUUCAGAGAACCAAGAGACAGGUCUGUAGGAUCGUCACAGCCUGCCCACCAAGGAAACUCUGCUUUUUACACUCUUCAUUCAUGACCACCAGUCCAGCUUUCCAGACCCAGUGUGCAAGUCUGAUCCUGGAGCAGUGCUUGCCCAAUAUUCAAGCCAACUCCUCUUGUGUUGAUUUCCCUCCUCCUCUCACUCUAAAAACCACCACAGGCCUUAUAUGAGACAGUGAGCUCUGUCAAAAUCUCCCAGCACAGUCCUUUCUCCCUGUCCACCACUACGAGGCUGGUUGAAACUUGCCCUGCCUCCAGGACAGGCCCCAAACUCACCCUCCCCAAGGUUACUGGAGUGACCCAUAUCUGGUAUCGAGGCACAUGUUCAGGUCAAGACUGGCAAACUGAUUUUACAGUAAUGCUCUGGGCACAAGGAAAUUUUAGAUGUUUGUGGGUUUUGACUGACACCUUCUCAGACUGGAUGGAGUCAUUUCUCACCUGAACUGAGACUGCCUUGGAGGUUUCUAAGACCUUUCUCAAGGAAAGAAUUCCCUGUUUGGGCCCCCUAAGUCCAUCAAGAGGGACAAUGGGCCUGCCUUUGUUCCCCAAAUUACUAAGGGAGUCUCUAGAGCUCUAGGAAUUACAUGGGGUUUACCCUCCACUUGGAAACCACAAUCCUCAGGAAAGUAGAACAAAUCAAACCCUCAAAAGGAACUCCUGGAUUUCCCACUGUGGCUCACAAGGAGAAGGUAGUUCUGGAUCGUCGCGUGGUGUAAAGCUGUGAUUAUUUCCCCCUCUCUGAAAGGCAUAUUUCUAUUGGUCCAUAUCCCCCAGGGUGGGCUCAGAGCCAGUUCCUUCAGGAAUGUGCCUCCCAUACAUGGUCUCAUAUGGACUCAACAUGAUUUUUCCUUUAGGGACUAUUCGCAUUCGUACAAGUGCUAUGGGGAAAAGGGAGAUCAAGCCUUGAUGAGUGUCUUGACAUAAUUUGAAUGUUUCCCUUUAUUAUUUAUUUAAUUUUACUUGAGUGUGUGUGUGUGUGUGAGUGAGAGAGAGAGACAGAGACAGAGAGGUAUUCAUUUUUUUUCCCAUAUAGGUUAUUACAGAAUAUUGAGUAUAUUCCUCUGUGCUCUGCAACAGAUUCUUGCCCAUUAUCUAUUCUGUACAUUGUAGUGUGUAUAUGCUAAUAUUAUUGUUCCAAUUUAUUCCCACUCCCCAUGGUUUCCCCCUGGGUAACCAUAAGUUCAGUUUUAAGAACUGUGUUUGUUUCCAUUUUAUAAGGAAGUUUUGUAUAAUUUUACUAGAUUCCACAUAGAAGUGAUCUCAUAAGAUAUUUGUCUGAUUUACUUGGUAUGUUAAACUCUAGGUCCACCCAUGUUGCUGCAAAUGGCAUUAUUUCAUUCUUUUUACAGCCAAGUAACAUUCCAUGAUAUAUACCACAUCUUUAGCCAUUCCUCUGUCAAAGGACAUUUACGUGGCUUCUAUGUCUUGGAUAGUGUCAGUAGUUCCACAAUGAAUAUUGGGGUGCAUAUAACUUUUCCAAUUAUGGUUUUCUCCAGAUAUAUGUCCAGAAGUUUCUUUUUUUGUUUUUUGUUUUUCUUUUUAGGGCUGCAUCUGAGACAUAUGGAAGUCCCCAGGGUAGGAGUCAAAUAGGAGCUGCAGCUGUUGUCCUAUACCACAGCCACAGCAAUGCCAGAUCCCAGCUGCAUCUGCAACCUGUGCUGCAUCUUGCAGCAAUUCUGGAUCCUUGCUUAAAUGAUGCCCCAUUUGUGCACAAUGCACACUAGGCUGGUAAGUUCUAGGAACCUAGGUAUAACCAUAAUAUCAUCCAGCACUGAGAUAAAGGGGCAAAAAGAUUCCCUCCAGCAGGAGUAGGGAUUGCUCUUGGACUAGAGCAAGGGGGAUUUGGUGCCCCCCUGGGGAGGUUCUGCAUACCAUGAAAUCACUGUACAAAUCCUUACAUGAGCCCCUGAGGACUUGCCUAAAAGCACGAGGGAUGCUUUAUUUCAUGCUUAUCUGGACUCAGUAGAAAAUAUUGUACUUGACAAUAGGCUAGCCCUUGACUACUUCCUGGCUGAGCAAGGGAAAUUCUGCAUAGUUAUUAAUAAAACCCACCACAUGCAUGGGAAUAACUCUGGUCAGAUUGAGGUAACCAUAAAAGAGAUGUAUAAGCAAGCUCAAAGGGCACAAAGGUAUCCCCCCAAAGGUCCCAAUCCAAGCUCCAUCUGGAAUAAGGUCAAAGAGAGCCUUUCUAGUUUAAACUGGUUUCUUCCAUUUCUUGGCACACUGACUGCAAUUAUCCUCCUGUUCAUCUUUAGGCCUUGCUUCCAUAACUGCCUUGUCAACUUCAUUAGUAAAGAACUUGAAUUCCUCAAACUUCAGAUGAUACUAACACAAGGGUACAAGAACUGAGAGUGCAGCCUUGUGAAGCUCAGGCUUAUGUUAGACGGGGCAGGGACAGUUCUGCACUUCCAAUCCAGGGGAAACCUAUGCCCAUGUUCAGCAGGAAGCAGCCCCAGAAGACAGACCUUCCUCCUCAAGAAUGGGGAGUAGUGACGAGGAAAGGGGGUGUUUUUGCCAGAGCCGACAGCAGAUCCUUGCCAAAGCCUGCGAAACCCUCCUUGAACUGGAGUUAUCGUGUGUUGAGAAGUGAAAGGUCUGGAGACAAGAAGAGGAAGCUAUAGGAAGAGACAAACCAGACGGAACCAGGUGGAAUCAGGAUGAUGACGACUCUGGCCUCCCCAGACUCCGAGUCUCAUUCAACAGAUUUUGCCACAUUAGCUACUAGAUGACACACCUACUGGUGGUCGUGACUGGAAGAUGCUGACCAAAAAA
This 3807-nucleotide long non-coding RNA is filed under the name Sus scrofa (pig). RNAcentral describes it as "lncRNA (ENSSSCG00045011772.1)". Lineage: Eukaryota; Metazoa; Chordata; Mammalia; Artiodactyla; Suidae. The record is from RNAcentral.